CCUACGGGGGACAGCAGUGAGGAAUAUUGGUCAAUGGGCGAGAUCCUGAACCAGCCAAGCCGCGUGAGGGAAGACGGCCCUAUGGGUUGUAAACCUCUUUUGUCGGAGAACAAAACCCGGGACGUGUCCCGGACUGCGUGUAUCCUACGAAAAAGCAUCGGCUAACUCCGUGCCAGCAGCCGCGGUAAUACGGAGGAUGCGAGCGUUAUCCGGAUUUAUUGGGGUUAACGGGUGCGUAGGCGGUCCGUUAAGUCAGCGGUAAAAUUGCGGGGCUAAACCCCGUCGAGCCGUUGAAACUGGUAGACUUGAGUGGGGGAGAGGUACGCGGAAUGCGAGGUGUAGCGGUGAAAUGCAUAGAUAUCGCGCAGAACACCGAUUGCGAAGGCAGCGUACCGGCGCCAGACCGACGCUGAGGCACGAAAGCGUGGGGAUCGAACAGGAUUAGAUACCCCUGUAGUC
This 459-nucleotide ribosomal RNA is filed under the name uncultured bacterium. RNAcentral's name for it is "partial 16S ribosomal RNA". It matches the Rfam family "Bacterial small subunit ribosomal RNA", at positions 338 to 795 of the family's 1533-position model. The record is from RNAcentral.